RNAcentral lists this transfer RNA (74 nucleotides) under bacterium. RNAcentral's name for it is "tRNA-Ala". It matches the Rfam family "tRNA". From Rfam's summary of the family: Transfer RNA (tRNA) molecules are approximately 80 nucleotides in length. Their secondary structure includes four short double-helical elements and three loops (D, anti-codon, and T loops). The record is from RNAcentral.
GGGCCGUUCGCACAGUGGAAAUGCACCGCAGUCGCAUUGCGGAGACGGGGGUUCGAUUCCCCCACGGUCCACCA